UGUGCCCAUGAGCAGGACAACAAAGAAACAGAGAAUUAGGAGGAAGAUCUAGAGAUAAAAGCAUCAUGGAAGCCAAAGACAUCCAUAGGAUAAAGUGGUCCCUGACGUGAGUUAGGAAGGGCAUCGAAAACAGAGAAGGCAAGAAGAAGACCAGCCGGAGGAGUCCUUCUUUCUAGGAAAAGGUUAAUACUCUGCCCUCAGGAGGUGGCCACAGGUGCAGUUCGUGUCCCGACAGCAGCACACCUGUGACUCUCCUGGAGUCUUGUGUUAACUGUUACUGAGUUCAUUUUUUAAGCAUCCCCUGCCCCUCUACCACCUGAACUAUCUCCUCCAAGGUGUCAAGUGACAGGUUUUAUUUAAGAGCACAGUGAACCCCCAUGAAUUUAAUAUUUGCUUCAAAUAAUUUCUUUAUAACGAGUGUUUGGGGGUCCCCUAUAGCACACUAGGGUGAAAUACAACUGAGAUUGGAUUCUGUGCUCUGUUAACUAAGUAUAUCAUCAGAGGGUAUCUAUGAAGGAUUCUGAUAUGAUAAAAGAAAGACUUUAAAGAUGGUUGGAAAACAAGAAAAGACAAGCAAAGAUGGCAAGCUGAGGAGACGGAUGGCUCCUGCCCUCAAGUUGCUUCAACUCUCAAUUUGAAUGAAAGUUAGAUGGAAAGAGGGAAGACACUGUAGUUCAAAUGUGCCCCUCGUAUGAUAAAAGAAAGACUUUAAAGAUGGUUGGAAAACGAAACAACAAGAAGACCCAGCAAGGGAAGGAUGCCCCGACUUGCCCCAUGUACACACAGCAGUGAAGCCACGGGAACAGGCUUCUUCUCCAGCCGUGAUCCGUGUGUUCUGGGGUCUUUGGUCUGGACUCCAAGGGUGUGCCUCCCAGGUCUUCUGGACAUGAAGAGAUGGGAACCCACGGACCUUCAAAUGGGGAUCUCCCUUGGACUUGUAAGUCCUGCAUACGGAAAUGAAGAUGUCCGUCCCUUACUCGGGUCUUGGAUCCUAAGCAUUUCGUAGCCUCAGGCAUUUGCUGGGGCCAUCUGGACCAGGAAGGGAUUGUGGUUGUGCCGUGAAUGCACACCGCAUCAGUUACCAGCUAAGAGGUCAUUCUUUGUUCCAGGAGAAGUGACAUCCAGUGACACCAUUAAUUAAAACUUCAUCUGUUUUGUGGUAAUCCACCCCACCCUGCUUGCUGUUCCUCCCCCAUCCCUGGCAUAUCAGCAAUUAGUUAAGCCAAGCUGCAAUGGCGGAAGCUGCUACUAAUUAAUUUCUCACAUCGAUGGAGACCUUUGAC
Molecule: long non-coding RNA, 1283 nt
Organism: Marmota flaviventris (yellow-bellied marmot)
Lineage: Eukaryota; Metazoa; Chordata; Mammalia; Rodentia; Sciuridae
Source: RefSeq, a predicted model, not a curated record